This 189-nucleotide ribosomal RNA is filed under the name uncultured bacterium. RNAcentral's name for it is "partial 16S ribosomal RNA". It matches the Rfam family "Bacterial small subunit ribosomal RNA", at positions 338 to 524 of the family's 1533-position model. The record is from RNAcentral.
CCUACGGGAGGCAGCAGUGAGGAAUAUUGGUCAAUGGGCGGUAGCCUGAACCAGCCAAGUAGCGUGUGGGACGACGGCCCUACGGGUUGUAAACCACUUUUUCGCGGGGAUAACAUCCGGGACUUGUCCCGGCUUGCAGGUACCGCGUGAAUAAGGACCGGCUAAUUCCGUGCCAGCAGCCGCGGUAAU